GACGAACGCUGGCGGCGUGCUUAACACAUGCAAGUCGAACGGAAAGGCCCUGCUUUUGUGGGGUGCUCGAGUGGCGAACGGGUGAGUAACACGUGAGUAACCUGCCCUUGACUUUGGGAUAACUUCAGGAAACUGGGGCUAAUACCGGAUAGGAGCUCCUGCUGCAUGGUGGGGGUUGGAAAGUUUCGGCGGUUGGGGAUGGACUCGCGGCUUAUCAGCUUGUUGGUGGGGUAGUGGCUUACCAAGGCUUUGACGGGUAGCCGGCCUGAGAGGGUGACCGGCCCCAUUGGGCCUGAGAUACGGCCCAGACUCCUCCGGGAGGCAGCAGUGGGGAAUAUUGCACAAUGGGCGGAAGCCUGAUGCAGCAACGCCGCGUGCGGGAUGACGGCCUUCGGGUUGUAAACCGCUUUCGCCUGUGACGAAGCGUGAGUGACGGUAAUGGGUAAAGAAGCACCGGCUAACUACGUG
This 468-nucleotide ribosomal RNA is filed under the name uncultured bacterium. Its description in RNAcentral is "partial 16S ribosomal RNA". It matches the Rfam family "Bacterial small subunit ribosomal RNA", at positions 28 to 507 of the family's 1533-position model. The record is from RNAcentral.